This 350-nucleotide ribosomal RNA is filed under the name Bacillus altitudinis. Its description in RNAcentral is "bacterial SSU rRNA". It matches the Rfam family "Bacterial small subunit ribosomal RNA", at positions 324 to 666 of the family's 1533-position model. The record is from RNAcentral. Lineage: Bacteria; Bacillati; Bacillota; Bacilli; Caryophanales; Bacillaceae.
ACACGGCCCAGACUCCUACGGGAGGCAGCAGUAGGGAAUCUUCCGCAAUGGACGAAAGUCUGACGGAGCAACGCCGCGUGAGUGAUGAAGGUUUUCGGAUCGUAAAGCUCUGUUGUUAGGGAAGAACAAGUGCAAGAGUAACUGCUUGCACCUUGACGGUACCUAACCAGAAAGCCACGGCUAACUACGUGCCAGCAGCCGCGGUAAUACGUAGGUGGCAAGCGUUGUCCGGAAUUAUUGGGCGUAAAGGGCUCGCAGGCGGUUUCUUAAGUCUGAUGUGAAAGCCCCCGGCUCAACCGGGGAGGGUCAUUGGAAACUGGGAAACUUGAGUGCAGAAGAGGAGAGUGGAA